Columba livia (rock pigeon) is the source of this 3361-nucleotide long non-coding RNA. RefSeq lists it as uncharacterized. The record is from RefSeq and is a predicted model, not a curated record. NCBI's taxonomy places the organism in Eukaryota, Metazoa, Chordata, Aves, Columbiformes, Columbidae. The transcript is spliced from 3 exons.
CUUGUAAGUAGAGUAGGGGAGAAAAGACUGUGGAGGACAUGGGCUUUAGAAGGAGAGUGCUGUCAGUGCAAGCUGAUGACAGCUCUUAUGGGAUAUGGUUAAAAAAAAGUCACAUGAGUGUAAACAGAUCAGUUUGUCUCUAAGGAUACAGAAAACUGGGAGAGCCAGUUCAGUCCAAAAUGCCAUCUGCAGAAAUGAAGAUUUUCACGCUCAUACUAGGCUGACAAAUCCUACAUUGCUUCUGUUUCCUCUCUGCUGUUUUUCUUGGGUGUCCCUUUGGAUGUGCCAGUGGGUGACAGGUGAGGACCCACAGGCAGAUGGAGGUGGGUGGAUCUGCUCCAGAGGAUGAACCAGAAGAUGAGCGGGGCUGAGUUACCAGCCUUCUUCUUGGACAGAAACCCAUUGCUGCUGGUGGCAUGGCACAGGGAAAGCAGCUCAAGGGAAACAAGAUCUUUCUGUGGGUUGUACCUAGGUAGUAUCCAGCUCUGCGUUAUCAGUGAAGCUCCAAAUAGCUUAUCUUUCACCUGCAUAUGUACGUGUUUCUCUCUUGCCAGACCAACAUUUAUUCAUCUGAAUGUGUGAAUAAUAAUCCCCUGAGUAGAUAUGGAUAAAAUAAAAGCAUACUAAAACCCCCAAAUAUUCGGGGAAAGAUUUUAUCUUUUGUUACGUGGAAAGAUGUCUGCAGUCUGGCUUCAAUAAAGGAAUAACUUAAAAGGCAGAAAAAUAAGCAGCAGAACAUCAGCUCUCACUUCAGUGUGUAAACUUUGGAAAGGCCACCUGUCAGAUCCCUGGUGGAAAGCAGCAUUUUGUUUGGCAUCUGGCUGAUUGCCACGAUGAAACGUUGAAGUGUUUGGAAACUUGUGGGACUUUCUUCAAAAGGCACAUUUCCCCUCCCCCUUUCUCUAAAUAAUUAAAUCUUAAAUGUUCUGGCUUGCAGUUAAGAAAAGAUAAAACACAGCGGCAGGAUUCUUUCAAACACACUAGCUAAUAACAUGAGGGCCUUUCAUGCUAUUUAUUUUAGCUUCCCCCAUAUGAAACACAAAAGAAAUUGCCUCAGUAUCACCUUAACUUUUCAUCUUAGGCAGUCACUGAUUCUGAUCUUGGUAGCUGAAGUAAAUCUGAAGUAACUCCACUGAAAUGUGACCUAGUUGCAGAGUGCUGCAUACUUAUUCCAGGGUAAAAUUGGCAUAUGAAUGCAAUUGUGAUUUUAUUAGUCUUAUCCUGUCAUAACGCAUAUCAGUCACUGAAGCUACUCCAGAUUUUGGUGACUCACACAAGCUACUCCCAACUCAGGCAAUGUGACUGAAAGCAGAGACCCACAAUUGUCAGCUGGGUGACAUCCUAUCUUGCAAAAAGAUAAGAAUUUAACUGUUUGACGGCAGGCAUAUUUUGCUCUGAUCACUCAUUUUGACUGUUUUCCCUAGCAUUACAUUGUGUUUCUGGGUCCUGUUGGAAACAAGUUGCUUCAUGAUUCCAGCACUUUGAGGAAUGCAAAGCUCCAGAUUAACACCAUCUGUUGUUUGAAGAUAAAAGCAAAGACUCCGAUGUUAGUGGCUAGUUCUCUUUGUAACUGCUGUUCUUUUAAGUAGCAGAUACUAGGAGGCUACUUUUGCCCCAGUAGAUAUGCAUGGGGUUGCCAGCAAAGGAAUAUGUGCUCUUGAGAAGUUGGACCCAAAUUUUGUUUCACUUAUUUGUGCUAUAGAAAAAAAGCCUUGGGUUUGUUUGCUGAAGUUUCUUGCUGGCUUUAGCGUUCAGGGGCACUAAGGGAAUGGAGGGCCUGGAAUCACCUUCAGCCAUGAUGCACAGACUGGGCUGCCAACAUACACCCUUCUCCAUGGUGUCCUGCUUGUCCUGGUGAAGAAUGAGCAGUCUGCAAUAUCAUUGCAAGAAUGAAGAUGGCACAGUAGAGCCUACAGAGGAAACCAUGCACUGCUGAAAUUGUCCCCCAUAUUUUCCAACAUGUUAUGCACUCUGGGUAAGAGGGCGAGUCCUGUUCUUUCUUCGUAUCUAAUGCUUCAUCUUGCAUAUGUCAGUUGGAAGAGUGCAGGGACAAGUCAGAAGGUGGGUGAUCUUGUCCUGCAUGCUGGUUAGUAGACCUAAAUAUAGAAAUUAAUUUGCUCCAGAUAUGGGAGCAUGGGCAGAAACAGCAACAAGGCUGCAAUUCUCCAGCUGUCUCUGCACAGGUCUGGCAGUGUUUUGGUCUGAACUCAGAAAAAGCCUGCCAAAGAUUCCAGACAAUGCCAAGCUACAGCUGAGAAUUAGCACAUGACAAGGACCACUCCCAAAAGGCAGUUUGAGUGCAAGCACAUUGUUUGAAGAGUAAGGCAAUUUAGCUUUCCCUAUAGUUGUGCUGUGCUAGUUGCCCUCAGGGCAAAGAGUGGUCCUUGAGCAGGGGUGACUCAUUUCACUUUCCACCAUACUCGAGGUAGCUUAAUUGGCUCUGAUCUGCCCUUGGAGGAGACCAGAACCUAAUGUCUCCAGACCUGUGACAGGGUCACUUUUGGGCUAUAUGAUGUAUUUCCUUUUGGCUGCCACAAGGUACAAGUCAGGCUCAGCUGCCACUAUCCCUUGUCUUUGGCACUGAGUAGUUUAAUAACAAUAUCAGUUUUAUUCAAGAUGCAGGCAGUUCAAGAUACAGGGAAUCAGAUGGAAAUGACCAAACUCAACUUUCAGGAAAUGGCAAUGCUUUUACUGAUACUUUUCGAACCUCAUCCAGGAAUCCUGGGGUCCCAUAUCUACCUCUGUCACACAUCUUUUGAUGUUUUUUAUAUUUAAAUAUGAAGUCUUGUUUAUUUUUUUGUUCUGUGUUUUAAGCUGAUGGACAGCUUCAGGGACUUCUUCCCAGUUUAGGAUUUGGACACAAGCCCUGUGUCAUAGGCCUUGGAGAGAAAGCCUGUCUCCCGGUGGAAAAAAAAAAAAAAAACCAAACCAAACCAACCAACAAACCAAACAGAACCACCACCACCAAAACCCACUACCACCACCACCAAGAAACUAAACAAACAAACAACAACAGCAAAAACUCCUAAGAAGCUGUGUGAGGGUAUUUUCUCACAAAGGUUUCCUUCUUCAGAGCCCCUUCCUGUGGGUUUGGACUACAAUGGGGAUAGUUCAGACCACUGUAAAUGUUGAUACAAUUGAAGGAAAACAAGAAUCGUGUUUGCCCUUUCCUGUCAAGGAGUCAUUUCUUCACUCUGAAAGUGAUGACUGAGCCCCAAUCCAAAGAAAUCCUGAAUGCUCAGUAGUUCAUGUUAAGGAGCAAAACAAAAAGCAAAAUCCCUUUUUUAUUCUGCCAUUGCAUUUUGGUAACUUUUCAACAUGCUGUCAUCUGGUGACAACAAAGACCUCAUAUCUCCUUUCA